RNAcentral lists this ribosomal RNA (440 nucleotides) under uncultured bacterium. RNAcentral's name for it is "partial 16S ribosomal RNA". It matches the Rfam family "Bacterial small subunit ribosomal RNA", at positions 338 to 795 of the family's 1533-position model. The record is from RNAcentral.
CCUACGGGCGGCAGCAGUGGGGGAUAUUGCACAAUGGGGGGAACCCUGAUGCAGCGACGCCGCGUGGGUGAAGGAGCGUUUCGGCGCGUAAAGCCCUAUCGGCAGGGAAGAAAAUGACGGUACCUGGCCAAGAAGCCCCGGCUAACUACGUGCCAGCAGCCGCGGUAAUACGUAGGGGGCAAGCGUUAUCCGGAUUUACUGGGUGUAAAGGGGGCGCAGACGGCAAUGCAAGCCAGGAGUGAAAGCCCGGGGCCCAACCCCGGGACUGCUCUUGGAACUGCAUGGCUGGAGUACAGGAGGGGCAGGCGGAAGUCCUAGUGUAGCGGUGAAAUGCGUAGAUAUUAGGAGGAACACCGGUGGCGAAGGCGGCCUGCUGGACUGUGACUGACGUUGAGGCCCGAAGGCGUGGGGAGCAAACAGGAUUAGAUACCCGAGUAGUC